RNAcentral lists this ribosomal RNA (454 nucleotides) under uncultured Bacteroides sp. RNAcentral describes it as "partial 16S ribosomal RNA". It matches the Rfam family "Bacterial small subunit ribosomal RNA", at positions 341 to 792 of the family's 1533-position model. Lineage: Bacteria; Pseudomonadati; Bacteroidota; Bacteroidia; Bacteroidales; Bacteroidaceae. The record is from RNAcentral.
ACGGGAGGCAGCAGUGAGGAAUAUUGGUCAAUGGUCGUAAGACUGAACCAGCCAAGUAGCGUGAAGGAUGACUGCCCUAUGGGUUGUAAACUUCUUUUGUUCGGGAAUAAAGUGCCGCACGUGUGCGGUUUUGUAUGUACCGUUCGAAUAAGCAUCGGCUAAUUCCGUGCCAGCAGCCGCGGUAAUACGGAAGAUGCGAGCGUUAUCCGGAUUUAUUGGGUUUAAAGGGUGCGCAGGCGGCACGUUAAGUCAGCGGUGAAAUGUCGGGGCUCAACCCGGGCACUGCCGUUGAAACUGGCGAGCUUGAGUACGGAUGAAGUUGGCGGAAUGUGAUGUGUAGCGGUGAAAUGCUUAGAUAUGUCACAGAACACCGAUUGCGAAGGCAGCUGACUAAUCCGCAACUGACGCUCAGGCACGAAAGCGUGGGGAUCGAACAGGAUUAGAUACCCUGGUA